GAGCGGCCGCGGCAGACUGGCAACGGCGUUCGCUUUGUAAUCGAAUGGUCCUGGGUUCGAUUCCCAUUUGCUCA
Molecule: transfer RNA, 74 nt
Filed under: Culex quinquefasciatus (southern house mosquito)
Lineage: Eukaryota; Metazoa; Arthropoda; Insecta; Diptera; Culicidae
Description: tRNA-Thr
Source: RNAcentral